AAACAGCACAGAUUGUAUGGGUCCCAAGAGGACCUCCAAAAUGUAUGGAGAUGGAACAUUCACCAAAUCUUCUACUAAAAUGCCUGGAACUGAGAAGAGGAAUACUGGGAAAUGCAUUCCACUCAGAAGCCAUGAGGCCUAGACCUAUAGGAAGAAGGGAAUGCAGCAAUCAGAGCUGGUUAAAUUGAGGUCUUAGCUACAGAAGCACCUGGUGGCUUCAAGGCAAAAGUUCCAGAUCAUGGACCCAUAGACGGAAGACUGGUGGUCACAGGCACCAUAAUGAGGAGAGCCAGGAUCCGACACAGCCUGCACCAGCUCGGACAAUCUUUUCACGUUCUGCUGUCUCAGGGCAAAGGUUCGGAGUCUCAUGCUGCCUUUCUGGAGAUCCGCUGUCAUGUGACAGAUCACAUGAGCCUU
Long non-coding RNA from Enhydra lutris kenyoni (northern sea otter), 417 nucleotides. RefSeq lists it as uncharacterized. NCBI's taxonomy places the organism in Eukaryota, Metazoa, Chordata, Mammalia, Carnivora, Mustelidae. The record is from RefSeq and is a predicted model, not a curated record. The transcript has 4 exons.